This 799-nucleotide ribosomal RNA is filed under the name Salmonella enterica. Its description in RNAcentral is "partial 23S ribosomal RNA". It matches the Rfam family "Bacterial large subunit ribosomal RNA", at positions 1177 to 1874 of the family's 2925-position model. The record is from RNAcentral. Lineage: Bacteria; Pseudomonadati; Pseudomonadota; Gammaproteobacteria; Enterobacterales; Enterobacteriaceae.
GGGGCUAAACCAUGCACCGAAGCUGCGGCAGCGAACGUAUCACCCAAGACAACUUUACGGAGUUGACGAUUGACGGAGCGAAGCGACGUCAAAGCGUUCAUUAAAGUCGAGUUGGCUUAGGGAUACGUUCGUUGGGUAGGGGAGCGUUCUGUAAGCCUGUGAAGGUGUGUCGUGAGGCAUGCUGGAGGUAUCAGAAGUGCGAAUGCUGACAUAAGUAACGAUAAAGCGGGUGAAAAGCCCGCUCGCCGGAAGACCAAGGGUUCCUGUCCAACGUUAAUCGGGGCAGGGUGAGUCGACCCCUAAGGCGAGGCCGAAAGGCGUAGUCGAUGGGAAACGGGUUAAUAUUCCCGUACUUGGUGUUACUGCGAAGGGGGGACGGAGAAGGCUAUGUUGGCCGGGCGACGGUUGUCCCGGUUUAAGCGUGUAGGUGUGUGUUCCAGGUAAAUCCGGUUCACUUUAACACUGAGGCGUGACGACGAGGCACUACGGUGCUGAAGCAACAAAUGCCCUGCUUCCAGGAAAAGCCUCUAAGCAUCAGGUAACACGAAAUCGUACCCCAAACCGACACAGGUGGUCAGGUAGAGAAUACCAAGGCGCUUGAGAGAACUCGGGUGAAGGAACUAGGCAAAAUGGUGCCGUAACUUCGGGAGAAGGCACGCUGACACGUAGGUGAAGUGAUUUACUCAUGGAGCUGAAGUCAGUCGAAGAUACCAGCUGGCUGCAACUGUUUAUUAAAAACACAGCACUGUGCAAACACGAAAGUGGACGUAUACGGUGUGACGCCUGCCCGGUGCCGGAA